GAUGAACGCUGGCGGCGUGCCUAAUACAUGCAAGUCGAGCGAACGGACGAGAAGCUUGCUUCUCUGAUGUUAGCGGCGGACGGGUGAGUAACACGUGGAUAACCUACCUAUAAGACUGGGAUAACUUCGGGAAACCGGAGCUAAUACCGGAUGAUAUUUUGAACCGCAUGGUUCAAAAGUGAAAGACGGUCUUGCUGUCACUUAUAGAUGGAUCCGCGCUGCAUGAGCUAGUUGGUAAGGUAACGGCUUACCAAGGCAACGAUGCAUAGCCGACCUGAGAGGGUGAUGGGCCACACUGGGAGUGAGACGCGGUCCAGACUCCUACGGGAGGCAGCAGUAGGGAAUCUUCCGCAAUGGGCGAAAGCCUGACGGAGCAACGCCGCGUGAGUGAUGAAGGUCUUCGGAUCGUAAGACUCUGUUAUUAGGGAAGAACAUAUGUGUAAGUAACUGUGCACAUCUUGACGGUACCUAAAGAGAAAGCCACGGCUAACUACGUG
RNAcentral lists this ribosomal RNA (497 nucleotides) under uncultured bacterium. RNAcentral's name for it is "partial 16S ribosomal RNA". It matches the Rfam family "Bacterial small subunit ribosomal RNA", at positions 28 to 507 of the family's 1533-position model. The record is from RNAcentral.